CGGCUUCAUCGGAAGUCACCUCUGCGAGAAGCUCAUGCUCGACACCGCCCACACCGUCCUCGCCGUCGACGUCUACAAUGACAAGAUCAAGUACCUCCUCGACAGCCCCCCGGACGCGCCCCACCCCUGGGCCGGCCGGAUCCACUUCCACCGCCUCAACAUUAAGAACGACCCCCGCCUCGAAGGCCUCAUCAAGAUGUCCGAUCUG
This 208-nucleotide unclassified non-coding RNA is filed under the name Hevea brasiliensis (rubber tree). Lineage: Eukaryota; Viridiplantae; Streptophyta; Magnoliopsida; Malpighiales; Euphorbiaceae. The record is from RNAcentral.